CCCUUAGAUGUUCUGGGCCGCACGCGCGCUACACUGACGAAUGCAACGAGCUUAUAACCUUGGCCGAAAGGUCUGGGUAAUCUCCAAAUUUCGUCGUGAUGGGGAUAGAUUAUUGCAAUUAUUAAUCUUCAACGAGGAAUGCCUAGUAAGCGCAAGUCAUCAGCUUGCGUUGAUUACGUCCCUGCCCUUUGUACACACCGCCCGUCGCUCCUACCGAUUGAAGUUUUCGGUGAAUUUGCAGGAGGUUUGCUUUGAAACUGGUUCGCCAGUGGAUUUGUGGACCAAAUGCAUGUGAAUCGAUGGCUUUAGAGGAAGGAGAAGUCGUAACA
This 329-nucleotide ribosomal RNA is filed under the name uncultured eukaryote. RNAcentral describes it as "partial 18S ribosomal RNA". It matches the Rfam family "Eukaryotic small subunit ribosomal RNA", at positions 1470 to 1796 of the family's 1831-position model. The record is from RNAcentral.